GCUGGUAUCUCUGCCUUCCUAUCAGCGCGAUUCCAUUGGGUGAGCAGAGUGCUUCCAGCAAGAUGUGUUAAAUCACAAUACAGAGUUACUAUUAUAACUACAGUUGAUAAUCUGCUGUGCCUGCAAGAACUUUGCCAAGCUGGGAGCACAAAGCAGAACUCUUCACACCAAGACCUGAACUGUCCCCAGAGGACCACACAGAGCUAUGCCCUUGGCUCCUGGAGAACCACAGCAGCUCCAAGGUGUUCACAACACUGUCUUUUGCCUGCUGUAUGGACCAGAAGCCAAAGGAAGACUUCAGGAGCCCAAAGAAAAAGAACUUCAUUAGUUCUGAAGACUGCUCAGUAGGCAACAUGUUGAAUACAAGAUCAGUUUGAACUGUAGUUUUUCUGCAAGCUUCCAGUAUUGUCUUGUCAUCAGCCCGUGAGUCUUACGUGAAUGAUUCCUGCUC
RNAcentral lists this long non-coding RNA (451 nucleotides) under Anser brachyrhynchus (Pink-footed goose). RNAcentral's name for it is "lncRNA (ENSABRG00000021855.1)". Lineage: Eukaryota; Metazoa; Chordata; Aves; Anseriformes; Anatidae. The record is from RNAcentral.